CUACGGGCUGCUGCAGUGAGGGAUUUUGCGCAAUGGGGGAAACCCUGACGCAGCAACGCCGCGUGAGUGAAGAAGGUCUUUGGGUCGUAAAGCUCUGUCAACAGGGAAGAAGUUAUUAAUGUUUAAUAGAUGUUAGUAUUGACGGUACCUGUGAAGGAAGCACCGGCUAACUCCGUGCCAGCAGCCGCGGUAACACGGGGGGUGCAAGCGUUAUUCGGAAUUAUUGGGCGUAAAGGGCGCGUAGGCGGUUUUAUCAGUCAGAUGUGAAAGCCCGGGGCUCAACCCCGGAAGUGCAUUUGAAACAGUAAGACUUGAGUACGGGAGAGGAGAGCGGAAUUCCUGGUGUAGAGGUGAAAUUCGUAGAUAUCAGGAGGAACACCGAUGGCGAAGGCAGCUCUCUGGACCGAUACUGACGCUGAGGCGCGAAGGCGUGGGUAGCGAACAGGAUUAGAUACCCUAGUAGUC
RNAcentral lists this ribosomal RNA (465 nucleotides) under uncultured bacterium. Its description in RNAcentral is "partial 16S ribosomal RNA". It matches the Rfam family "Bacterial small subunit ribosomal RNA", at positions 339 to 795 of the family's 1533-position model. The record is from RNAcentral.